Molecule: ribosomal RNA, 253 nt
Filed under: uncultured bacterium
Lineage: Bacteria
Description: partial 16S ribosomal RNA
Rfam family: Bacterial small subunit ribosomal RNA
Source: RNAcentral
UACAGAGGGGGCGAGCGUUAUUCGGAAUUAUUGGGCGUAAAGGGCGCGUAGGCGGCCUUUCAAGUGACGGGUGAAAUCCCUCGGCUUAACCGAGGAACUGCCUGUCAGACUGGAAGGCUUGAGACCGGGAGAGGUGAGUGGAAUUCCCAGUGUAGCGGUGAAAUGCGUAGAUAUUGGGAGGAACACCAGUGGCGAAGGCGGCUCACUGGACCGGUACUGACGCUGAGGUGCGAAAGCGUGGGGAGCAAACAGG